UUUAGGCUUAGGCUUAGGCUCAGUCUUAGGCUCAGGCUUCGGCUUAGGCUUAGGGCCUCAGGCUUAGGGUUGGGCUUAGGCUUAUGGACUCAGUCUAAGGGCCUUAGGCAUAGGCUUAGGCUUAGGCAUAGGCUUAG
Molecule: non-coding RNA, 137 nt
Organism: Caenorhabditis elegans
Lineage: Eukaryota; Metazoa; Nematoda; Chromadorea; Rhabditida; Rhabditidae
Source: Ensembl